Molecule: ribosomal RNA, 492 nt
Filed under: uncultured bacterium
Lineage: Bacteria
Description: partial 16S ribosomal RNA
Rfam family: Bacterial small subunit ribosomal RNA
Source: RNAcentral
GACGAACGCUGGCGGCGCGCUUAACACAUGCAAGUCGAACGGAAAGGCCUGCUUUCCCUUGUGGAUUGCGGGUACUCGAGUGGCGAACGGGUGAGUAACACGUGAGUGAUCUGCCCCCAACUUGGGUAUAAGCCUGGGAAACUGGGUCUAAUUCCCGAUAGGACUGCAGGGUGGUGCCUGUGGUGGAAAACGAUUUUCUAGUGGUUGGGGAUGAGCUCGCGGCCUAUCAGCUUGUUGGUGGGGUAAUGGCCUACCAAGGCGGCGACGGGUAGCCGGCCUGAGAGGGUGGACGGCCACAUUGGGACUGAGAUACGGCCCAGACUCCUACGGGAGGCAGCAGUGGGGAAUAUUGCACAAUGGGCGGAAGCCUGAUGCAGCGACGCCGCGUGGGGGAUGACGGCCUUCGGGUUGUAAACUCCUUUCGACCGCGAGGAAGCCACCUGGUUGGAAGGGUGGUGACGGUAGUGGUAGAAGAAGCACCGGCUAACUACG